This 373-nucleotide ribosomal RNA is filed under the name uncultured organism. RNAcentral describes it as "partial 16S ribosomal RNA". It matches the Rfam family "Bacterial small subunit ribosomal RNA", at positions 527 to 896 of the family's 1533-position model. The record is from RNAcentral.
GUAGGUGGCAAGCGUUGUCCGGAAUUAUUGGGCGUAAAGCGCGCGCAGGCGGUCCUUUAAGUCUGAUGUGAAAGCCCACGGCUCAACCGUGGAGGGUCAUUGGAAACUGGGGGGACUUGAGUACAGAAGAGGAAAGCGGAAUUCCAAGUGUAGCGGUGAAAUGCGUAGAGAUUUGGAGGAACACCAGUGGCGAAGGCGGCUUUCUGGUCUGUAACUGACGCUGAGGCGCGAAAGCGUGGGGAGCAAACAGGAUUAGAUACCCUGGCAGUCCACGCCGUAAACGAUGAGUGCUAAGUGUUAGGGGGUUUCCCGCCCCUUAGUGCUGCAGCUAACGCAUUAAGCACUCCGCCUGGGGAGUACGGCCGCAAGGCUG